This is a non-coding RNA of Gasterosteus aculeatus aculeatus (three-spined stickleback), 1010 nucleotides long. The record is from RefSeq and is a predicted model, not a curated record. NCBI's taxonomy places the organism in Eukaryota, Metazoa, Chordata, Actinopteri, Perciformes, Gasterosteidae.
AUCCCCUGCGAUUGUCUGCCGUGUCCAUGAUUGUCUCCACCUGUGUCCAACCACCUGCACCUUCCCAGUUUAAGCCAUGUGUGUCUCUUGUCGAGUCAUUGAAUGUUCAACCAAAUGUAAAUCUCCAAGCCCUGAAUGUCUACCCUGAACCUCGUCCCUGGAUUGUUCCUGCUUCCAGCCACGCCACCCCGGCCCCUCCGGGCGCCGGAUCACACUGGGAGCGGGUGAUGGAGCUGUCGGCCCACCUCCAGGCCACCUACUCCCUCCCGUCCCCUGGUCCUCUCCCUCCCGCCCUGUAGUGUUUCGAGGGCCGUCUGGAAUCCGGUCCUUGAGGAGGGGGUCCUGUAGCCGGCGUCCCAGUGUCCGGCACCCAGUGUCCUGCAGCCGGCGCCCCGACCCUGGCUCCCUGUGUCCUGCAGCCAGCGCCCCCGAGCCCGACUACCAUGUUUGUAGGCAACAUUAUUCCUGUUUCAUAAGAAAAAGGCUGUUAUUUAUGUAGAGGAGCCCACCGUUUGCCAACUUUGUCCGAUAUUCGGACCCAGAAACAGACCAAACGACUUGCAGGAGGAGGAUGUUUGUAGUUCUGCCGCCUACAUUUCGGCUAAAGUGUCAUCGCUGCAGUUAGCCUCCGAUGUCCUGUUGUUCAAACUUCAGUCUAAGUAUUCAGAUGACGUUUUAUAAGCAGUACUCCGAUGUUUAUAAGUGAACGAAGGUAAACACGAACCUCUGGUGAGUCACUGUGUUCCUCUCUUAAUGAGCACUUAGUGAAGACAAACAGGGAAACCACUCAUUGGUGUGAUAGAGGGAUACUACUGUAUGUACUGUAAAAAUCUCGUUUCUCAAAAGAAAUAAUAGAAAAUUAAAUUAGUUUCACAUCCUUUAUGGUAAAGAGAACUUUGUUUCUGGCUUUUUACGAGUCGUUCCUCCCAGUCUGUUAAUUGGAAUUUGGUUAAUCUUGUAUUCAGUCAUUUGACAGAUUUGUUGUUGAUGUAAAGAAUUCUCAAGAUCCA